Molecule: ribosomal RNA, 511 nt
Filed under: uncultured bacterium
Lineage: Bacteria
Description: bacterial SSU rRNA
Rfam family: Bacterial small subunit ribosomal RNA
Source: RNAcentral
CCUACGGGAGGCAGCAGUGGGGAAUAUUGGACAAUGGGCGAAAGCCUGAUCCAGCAAUGCCGCGUGAGUGAUGAAGGCCUUAGGGUUGUAAAGCUCUUUUACCAGGGAUGAUAAUGACAGUACCUGGAGAAUAAGCUCCGGCUAACUCCGUGCCAGCAGCCGCGGUAAUACGGAGGGAGCUAGCGUUGUUCGGAAUUACUGGGCGUAAAGCGUACGUAGGCGGUUAUUCAAGUCAGAGGUGAAAGCCUGGAGCUCAACUCCAGAACUGCCUUUGAAACUAGAUAGCUAGAAUCUUGGAGAGGUGAGUGGAAUUCCGAGUGUAGAGGUGAAAUUCGUAGAUAUUCGGAAGAACACCAGUGGCGAAGGCGACUCACUGGACAAGUAUUGACGCUGAGGUACGAAAGCGUGGGGAGCAAACAGGAUUAGAUACCCUGGUAGUCCCGACGACCGUAACGAUAGAUAACUAGACUGUUCGGUCGUCUACGACGCGUGUAGUGGCGCGAGACGUACG